UCUUUCAAGCGCUAUAAGGGUUACCGGUUUUAUUGCCGGCAUUAAAAGGGAACCAUGUUAAAAUCAUGGGCUGACGUGCAACUGUGUGAUUAGUAAUAAGUUUAAUGUUAAAAGUUGAAAGUAAAAUUUAGCUAUACCAAACUUUACUUUCAACCUUCAACUCACAACUUUCAACUACAAAGCCAGACACCUGCCUGCAUAGCUUGACGAAA
This 212-nucleotide non-coding RNA is filed under the name Mucilaginibacter mallensis. Lineage: Bacteria; Pseudomonadati; Bacteroidota; Sphingobacteriia; Sphingobacteriales; Sphingobacteriaceae. The record is from RNAcentral.